Molecule: ribosomal RNA, 254 nt
Filed under: uncultured bacterium
Lineage: Bacteria
Description: partial 16S ribosomal RNA
Rfam family: Bacterial small subunit ribosomal RNA
Source: RNAcentral
UACGUAGGGGGCAAGCGUUGUCCGGAAUCACUGGGCGUAAAGCGCGCGCAGGCGGUCUUUCACGUCCGGGGUGAAAGCCCUGGGCUCAACCUGGGAAUUGCAGUGGAUACUGGCAAGCUAGAGUGCGGUAGAGGAUGGUGGAAUUCCCGGUGUAGCGGUGAAAUGCGUAGAGAUCGGGAGGAACACCCGUGGCGAAGGCGGCCAUCUGGACCAGCACUGACGCUGAGGCACGAAAGCGUGGGGAGCAAACAGGG